This 379-nucleotide long non-coding RNA is filed under the name Marmota monax (woodchuck). Lineage: Eukaryota; Metazoa; Chordata; Mammalia; Rodentia; Sciuridae. The record is from RNAcentral.
UCAAUAAUAUAUAAUUAGAAAUUAAAGCAUUUUAAAUAUGAAAGUAUCUUUAAAUAGAUACUUUCAUAAGACGUUUGUGUGAAAGGACUUAACACUGGAAAGGCAUUUGUUUGCUGGAUGAUACGAACACCUGGCUUUGGGUUUGCACCAUGGCCAGAUAAACCACUCUUUCUCCCAAGCGGGCUCGACGUGUUCUGACACAUAAAUCUAAAGCGAUGCCCUCUGUCUCCUGCCUUCGUAAGUCAAUGAGUUCUACAGUUGUGAUUUUCUACCCAGAACCUUGUUUUUCUAGGGAAUUAAGGUCACUGCCAAGAUUCAAGUGACUACUUCUUUUCACUGAUUUAAAGCAGGAUUUCUUAAAGCCCAGGGAAGGUGAGCU